RNAcentral lists this transfer RNA (75 nucleotides) under Bacteroidota bacterium. RNAcentral's name for it is "Bacteroidetes bacterium (sediment metagenome) tRNA-Val". It matches the Rfam family "tRNA". Rfam says of the family: Transfer RNA (tRNA) molecules are approximately 80 nucleotides in length. Their secondary structure includes four short double-helical elements and three loops (D, anti-codon, and T loops). Lineage: Bacteria; Pseudomonadati; Bacteroidota. The record is from RNAcentral.
GGGCAGUUAGCUCAGCUGGUUCAGAGCGUCUGGUUUACACCCAGAAGGUCGUGGGUUCAAAUCCCUCACUGCCCA